GAGAUUUUAGUUUAUUGAGAAUUUUUUAUUUACUAUAAAAAGGUAGAAGUCUUU
Molecule: transfer RNA, 54 nt
Filed under: Neofoleyellides sp. XM-2022
Lineage: Eukaryota; Metazoa; Nematoda; Chromadorea; Rhabditida; Onchocercidae
Description: tRNA-Val
Source: RNAcentral